GAGUCUUUCACUCAGAUUCAAAUAUAAAAUAUACACAGAAAAAUGUUUACUUGGCCAAACCUCUUGAUAAAUUUCAGUUAAAAUACUACCUGAAGAUUGUCCAACUGAAUCUAUUAAUAUUGCUAAUGCAUACCAAUCCGAUAGUAUCUUCUUAUCUAUAGCAUCAAAUAGCGCAUCUCUAGUAACCUCAUAUUUAGCAAAGUCUUCAUGUACUGAAGUCAUUAGCGCGCUAAAUUUCUUUUCUCUAUCCCUUCGAGCAGCUCUUCGAGCCCUUAACAUUUUUUGUAUUGCAACAGGGACAUUACGUAUCAUUUCAUUUUUUGAGUAAGAAUGAUUAAAGGAAUAAACGCUGCGACAUCGUACCCUGAUACAUUGUCCCCUUUUUCGAAUUUGAGAAGUCGCAUUUGGACUAAUU
RNAcentral lists this long non-coding RNA (415 nucleotides) under Nicotiana benthamiana. Its description in RNAcentral is "long non-coding RNA (NBEN_LNC003239)". Lineage: Eukaryota; Viridiplantae; Streptophyta; Magnoliopsida; Solanales; Solanaceae. The record is from RNAcentral.